Molecule: non-coding RNA, 415 nt
Organism: Pelobates cultripes (western spadefoot toad)
Lineage: Eukaryota; Metazoa; Chordata; Amphibia; Anura; Pelobatidae
Source: the annotation of a GenBank genome assembly
GGUAAGUACAGCUGAUUCAAAAUAUAUAAUAUGGAAAUCAUCACUAUGGAAUUCAGAUCACAUGGUCUGUAAUAUACCACUAAUUAUCCUGAAAUACAGAAAGAAUAUUGAAAUUUUCCAUGAUUUGUUAAAGGGACACUCCAGGUACCCAGCGUAGCUGGAAUCCCCAUACGAAAGCAUUGAAUGAUGCUUUCCAAUGGGGAGGUCUAACACACGCGGCCACUGCUGCGCAUGCGUAUUAGGUCUCCCCUCCUGACAUCAGCCAUGGGUAGAGCCUGACCCAGCGCUGAGGGACAUCAGAGUUGGAUUCAAGUAAGUGACUGAAAGGGUUUUAACUCAUUCAGCAACAUGGGAUGGGGUGGGUGGGAGGGGGGACACUGCAGAAUCCUGAUGUGCCAGGAAAAUUGGUUUGUUA